Molecule: ribosomal RNA, 497 nt
Filed under: uncultured bacterium
Lineage: Bacteria
Description: partial 16S ribosomal RNA
Rfam family: Bacterial small subunit ribosomal RNA
Source: RNAcentral
GAUGAACGCUGGCGGCGUGCCUAAUACAUGCAAGUCGAGCGAACAGAGGAGGUACUUGCUCCUCUGCCGUCAGCGGCGGAAGGCUGAGUAAACCGUGGAUAACCAACCUAUCAGACUGGGAUAACUCCGGCAAAUCGGCGCUAAUACCCGAUAAUAUAUUGCACCGCAUAGUUCAAUAGAGAACGAUGCUGUUUCUGUCACUUACCCAUGGAUCCGCGCCGCAUUAGCUAGUUGGUAAGGUAACGGCUUACCAAGGCAACGAUGCGUAGCCGACCUGAGAGGGUGAUCGGCCACACUGGAACUGAGACACGGUCCAGACUCCUACGGGAGGCAGCAGUAGGGAAUCUUCCGCAAUGGGCGAAAGCCUGACGGAGCAACGCCGCGUGAGUGAUGAAGGUCUUCGGAUCGUAGAACUCUGUUAUUAGGGAAGAACAAAUGUGUAAGUAACUAUGCACGUCUUGACGGUACCUAAUCAGAAAGCCACGGCUAACUACGUG